This 256-nucleotide long non-coding RNA is filed under the name Elaeis guineensis (African oil palm). RNAcentral's name for it is "long non-coding RNA (EGUI_LNC034303)". The record is from RNAcentral. Lineage: Eukaryota; Viridiplantae; Streptophyta; Magnoliopsida; Arecales; Arecaceae.
AUAUCUGAAAAUGUGGCACAAUAGUCCUAGCAUAAGAUUGAUCAGUUUUGAAAAUUAUUUUCAAAGUAAGUAAAUUAAUCUUUUAGAUCUGAAAAUUAAAAGAUUCGAAGGCUGGGAGGUUUUCUAAGAUUUAAGCAGAGUGCAUCUCCGAUCAGGGUUCAGAUUCGGGGCUUUAAAAGACCUUGUGGCAAACAGAGGCAUGGUGAGUUCAGCAUAACCUAAGCAGCAACCGCGAGCAGAGGCAGCAGCAGACCCU